CUUCUCUGAUGUUAGCGGCGGACGGGUGAGUAACACGUGGAUAACCUACCUAUAAGACUGGGAUAACUUCGGGAAACCGGAGCUAAUACCGGAUAAUAUUUUGAACCGCAUGGUUCAAAAGUGAAAGACGGUCUUGCUGUCACUUAUAGAUGGAUCCGCGCUGCAUUAGCUAGUUGGUAAGGUAACGGCUUACCAAGGCAACGAUGCAUAGCCGACCUGAGAGGGUGAUCGGCCACACUGGAACUGAGACACGGUCCAGACUCCUACGGGAGGCAGCAGUAGGGAAUCUUCCGCAAUGGGCGAAAGCCUGACGGAGCAACGCCGCGUGAGUGGAUGAAGGUCUUCGGAUCGUAAAACUCUGUUAUUAGGGAAGAACAUAUGUGUAAGUAACUGUGCACAUCUUGACGGUACCUAAUCAGAAAGCCACGGCUAACUACGUGCCAGCAGCCGCGGUAAUACGUAGGUGGCAAGCGUUAUCCGGAAUUAUUGGGCGUAAAGCGCGCGUAGGCGGUUUUUUAAGUCUGAUGUGAAAGCCCACGGCUCAACCGUGGAGGGUCAUUGGAAACUGGAAAACUUGAGUGCAGAAGAGGAAAGUGGAAUUCCAUGUGUAGCGGUGAAAUGCGCAGAGAUAUGGAGGAACACCAGUGGCGAAGGCGACUUUCUGGUCUGUAACUGACGCUGAUGUGCGAAAGCGUGGGGAUCAAACAGGAUUAGAUACCCUGGUAGUCCACGCCGUAAACGAUGAGUGCUAAGUGUUAGGGGGUUUCCGCCCCUUAGUGCUGCAGCUAACGCAUUAAGCACUCCGCCUGGGGAGUACGACCGCAAGGUUGAAACUCAAAGGAAUUGACGGGGACCCGCACAAGCUGGUGGAGCAUGUGGUUUAAUUCGAAGCAACGCGAAGAACCUUACCAAAUCUUGACAUCCUUUGACAACUCUAGAGAUAGAGCCUUCCCCUCCGGGGGACAAAGUGACAGGUGGUGCAUGGUUGUCGUCAGCUCGUGUCGUGAGAUGGUGGGUUAAGUCCCGCAACGAGCGCAACCCUUAAGCUUAGUUGCCAUCAUUAAGUUGGGCACUCUAAGUUGACUGCCGGUGACAAACCGGAGGAAGGUGGGGAUGACGUCAAAUCAUCAUGCCCCUUAUGAUUUGGGCUACACACGUGCUACAAUGGACAAUACAAAGGGCAGCGAAACCGCGAGGUCAAGCAAAUCCCAUAAAGUUGUUCUCAGUUCGGAUUGUAGUCUGCAACUCGACUACAUGAAGCUGGAAUCGCUAGUAAUCGUAGAUCAGCAUGCUACGGUGAAUACGUUCCCGGGUCUUGUACACACCGCCCGUCACACCACGAGAGUUUGUAACACCCGAAGCCGGUGGAGUAACCUUUUAGGAGCUAGC
RNAcentral lists this ribosomal RNA (1389 nucleotides) under Staphylococcus sp. IBS34A. Its description in RNAcentral is "bacterial SSU rRNA". It matches the Rfam family "Bacterial small subunit ribosomal RNA", at positions 81 to 1453 of the family's 1533-position model. The record is from RNAcentral. Lineage: Bacteria; Bacillati; Bacillota; Bacilli; Caryophanales; Staphylococcaceae.